This 401-nucleotide ribosomal RNA is filed under the name uncultured prokaryote. RNAcentral's name for it is "bacterial SSU rRNA". It matches the Rfam family "Bacterial small subunit ribosomal RNA", at positions 355 to 774 of the family's 1533-position model. The record is from RNAcentral.
UGGGGAAUAUUGCACAAUGGGGGGAACCCUGACGCAGCAACGCCGCGUGAAGGAAUACGGUUUUCGGAUUGUAAACUUCUUUGUCCGAGGCCGAUAAUGACGGUACCCGGAAAACAAGCCACGGCUACCUACGUGCCAGCAGCCACGGUAAUACGUAGGUGGCGAACGUUGUCCGGAAUUACUGGGUGUAAAGGGUGAGUAGGCGGAAUGGCAAGUCAGAUGUGAAAUUUCGGGGCUUAACCCCGGGGCUGCAUUUGAACUGCUGUUCUUGAGUGAUGGAGAGGCAGGCGGCAUUCCUAGUGUAGCGGUGAAAUGCGUAGAUAGUAGGAGGAACACCUGCGGUGUAGACGGCUCUCUGGACCGUUUCUGACGCUGAGACACGAAAGCGUGGGUAGCAAACA